GCGCCCGUAGCUCAUCUGGAUAGAGCAUCGUCCUUCCAGGCCGAGUGUAGCAGGUUCGACUAAAAUUGCCGGGAGCA
This 77-nucleotide transfer RNA is filed under the name hydrothermal vent metagenome. RNAcentral describes it as "tRNA-Gly-TCC". The record is from RNAcentral.